Molecule: long non-coding RNA, 2912 nt
Organism: Lathyrus oleraceus (garden pea)
Lineage: Eukaryota; Viridiplantae; Streptophyta; Magnoliopsida; Fabales; Fabaceae
Exons: 2
Source: RefSeq, a predicted model, not a curated record
GUAUCAAUUCCCAACACAAGUCUCUGAAUGUUUUAAACAAUAUUAAAGACAUAUAUUAUUAUUAUUAUUAUUAUUAUUAUUAUUAUUAUUAUUAUUAGUUUUAAAAAGUGAAACAAAAUAUCCUAACCAAAACAUGACCUUUCCUCAAGUAGGAGCAAACGAUCACAGAAGAAAAAAAAAUGGAAGAGUCGAAACAUGAAGGGAAACGCACAGCAACACCCAAAGAUAGUACAGCAAGGAAAGACGAUGAUGAAGCAUAAGUCAAAAGGAAUGGAGAGCAAAGACCAGACCAGAAUUAAGUUUUAGGCUUACCUUUCCACGAAGAUAUUGACGGUGAUGUUGGGUCCUCUAAACUCCGGCGCGUUUGAUUCUCCGACGGCGUUCAAAUGGAAUCUCGCGUCUUCUCUGCGGAAAAGCACAAAGUCUAGAUCUUGUGGAGGGUGGUGAGUGUGGAACUCUUUCCCCAUCGAAGAACAACUUGAUUUCCAGGACGAAGCAGGGCAAAGUGACCAAGAAGGGAUAAUGAUUCAAGCAUGAGCAAAACAAAUCUGAUCAUCAGAAGCUUUCCAUCGGCCUUUCACCUGAGGCCUAUCACGAAAUGCAAAAAGAUCUCUCAACCAGUGAAUCACUUGAUAGGAAAUCAAUGACUCGUACGAACCAUCACGCAUCUGAAGUUGUCUUACUUCUAAGGUCGCCAGGAGUACUUAGAGUCGCUACAACCUUCUAUGUAGUUCUCAAGAGCCGAUGAAAGCAACAGGAUGAUUGGAGGCGGAAGAUUCAGUGCAACAAAAUAAAUCCUAUCUGCAGGUAUAGACAGUACGACCUUCAGAAGUUCUAACAGGUGCAACGUAACCAGAUAUGCUGUCGGUUUGGAUGUGUAAGAAGCAAGCAAGGCAGAGGAAAUGAAAUCGAGUAGUCCAACUUAUCGAGAUGCUUGUAACUCAGGGUCCUUUCCCUCCACAUACCUGAUCAUUUCAGAAGUUAUCAACCCUAUGCUUGACGCCCCUUCUUCCCUUACUUCCAAUGGCUUGAGUUGAAUCUCCUUUUGAUUUUUGGUUUUUUGGUAUUGACUGUUAUGUGGUUUGGUUUGAUUUUCGCAGGGCCACGGUUGUGUUUCUUGCAAUGCCAAUCGCAUGAUAACACUUCCAUUGAGGAUACAUCAACUUGAAUAGUUUGGGACCUAAGUAUGCAUGUGUGACCUGUUGGACCUGCUCCUUGUUGCAUCUAAGAUGAGUUAUGCUGAGGCAGACAACUCAGAUGCUGUUGUUCUCUUAUGAUUAGCAGGACAUAGCCUAAGCUGGAGCAAACUUCCAUUUGCCAAUAACCAAUAUUGGCCAUCACAAGGGUGUCAACUAAAUGGGGUGAAGUUUUGGUUCCAAGAAUCAGCUGAAGACCCUGUGGAGGGUCAUGAUCUUUCUCGGAGCAAUGACCUGUGAGGACAAGGGCUUCCAGUUUAAAAUAUGCUUGCAGUGUUCUUGUGUCACCGAGGUUCUCAAGCAGAAUGUUAUCCAAGGCAUGAACAGUGAGAACGGGCUCAACAAGACAGGGUUCUGGAACAUCAAGAUUCAUGGUGAGAAUCUUAGAUAAUGGCAGGUUGGCAAAAAUACUUUUGGGCCAUUCGUCAAAGAAUCAGUGUUGCUAGAGUCAUCCAUUGACGGUACUACAUAUUUGUAGUAGUUCUUCAGAGGAAGAUCAACAAGGGAACUCAUUGGAUUCAGCACAAUCCUCAUGCUGGGCUGAAUGUAUUUCCACAAAACUCGAAGAAUCCCAGACAACUUUUGGCUGGUUGGACUUAAAGGAUCCAGAACCGCAUCAAUAUGCAUGCUAGAAUUUUCAUUGUUCAGAAUAAUGGCAUUGUGUUGAGCACUCAAACCUCAAAAUGAGCACUUUCAGAAUGUCGCUCUCUCAUAGACAUUGAAGAUGAUACAGACAUGACAAUAUCACUAAUGAAUUUGCUUGUCAACAUGUCAGGGUCAACAUCUUCCCAUUUCAUUAAAGUUUAUGCAAUCUACUAGCCAUGUAGGUGUUAAUAGUAUUGAGAGCGGAGGAUUUGUUAAGAAUGGCGAGUUUGGAGUAUCCACUUCCUUCAACCAAAACGUUAUGGUGAUGAUCAACGGAGAGAGCUGGGGUUUGGCUUAGCUGCUGUCGCCGGUGAUGGUGGUGGUUUGCCAUUUGUUGUAACAACCUCCGUACUGCCUUUUUUUUCUACAUUAUAUUCAUAACCUUGGUAGCAAAUCUUUGUAUUUGAAACUUAAAUGGUCCAUUGUCUGUUCUGAAACUGCUACCUGGAAUGUACUUGAGCCAAACUUGGAAACCUCCAAAGUUCCAUUCAACUCAAGCAUAAGGACUAAUUCCGUGGUGAACAUAAAGAUCUGCUUGCUGCACCAACUUUAUGAACUUUACUAAAACAUAGUUCCCCUUAAAAAAUAGUAUUUUCCAAGUGAAGGUUCAUGCCCAUUCCGAAACACAUAAUUUUGAAUCACAUCCAAUCCUCCUUCUUUAGCCUUUUGGAUAAGAUCUGGCCACAUCUCAUGAGUACUUCUGGGGUAAUGAAUGGAGCCAGAAAGUAGUAUCCUUCUUUGUCCAUUGAUCGUGGUAGCUUUAUAAUCAAUGAAACAGAAACUUCAUGUUGAGCAAUAAGUGAAGUCGCAAGUAUUACAAAUAACAACAUAUUGAGCUUGAAGCCCACAAAGAAUAAUGAACCUUGAACAUGUUAUGUGUUUUUCAACAUUUCAUCCUAAGCUUCAAUGUAUAUAUAUAUAUAUAUAGAAAGAGAGAAAGUAGGGAUUAGGAUCCUUGGGAUUUUGGGGAUGGGUUGGAUUUGGUCCAAAUUCCAAUUUGCAAAUUAUGUAUGCUUUGUAUAAUUUUAUGAUUCAUAAUGAAUGUGACACUUGAUGUGAAUGAAAAUUGUU